Non-coding RNA from Paramuricea clavata, 666 nucleotides. NCBI's taxonomy places the organism in Eukaryota, Metazoa, Cnidaria, Anthozoa, Malacalcyonacea, Plexauridae. The record is from the annotation of a GenBank genome assembly.
GGUCACCAGACAAAAUAAAGAGAUAUAGCGCAUUGUUUUUCUAAAAUGGAAAAUUCUAAUGACGUCAGCAAUUGACAUAAAACGCUAUAUAGAACACGCGAAAUGACGUGAGAUGGCGCGAGCAACUGCUCACGUCAGGUCAUUUUGGAAGUUCUUUCAUUUUGUUAAUCAGUUUCCGCGACCUGCGGGUAAAAAUGGUCAACCGGUUUUGAGUUCGCGAUUCUUGAACAGGGUUUUUGUGAUAACUAUAUCGAGCCACCUUAAUUUGAUAUGCCGAUUUUCGCUAAUUUUAGACACAUCCCAAAAUAUGCUCCCGAUUUUGAACAUUAAUAUCUCCGUGAAUUUUUAAGUAAAAUACAACUGUAAUAUAUCAAAAUCUAAGUUAGCCCUUCCUCUAUUUAAUGCAAUGUUAUUAUAAAUCAAACCGGGGUACUUUUUUUUGGGACACCCGGUAUAUAUAAAAUGUAUGUAAACCUCAAUCAAAGAAAAUCAUAGACCAAUUUCAUAUCUCCGUCUGCACAGGUCGGAAUCGCUUAAAAUACAGUUAGUUCUCCGUAGUUUCUUUACAGUCACAGAUCAAUAUAUAUACGUUUCUUUUUAUGGAAAACACCAAGUUUAUUUAGCAAAGUUUUCAAUCUGUAUACUUCAUCAAAUAUAUUCUAUAUU